This is a long non-coding RNA of Melospiza melodia melodia, 763 nucleotides long. RefSeq lists it as uncharacterized. The record is from RefSeq and is a predicted model, not a curated record. The transcript is spliced from 2 exons. NCBI's taxonomy places the organism in Eukaryota, Metazoa, Chordata, Aves, Passeriformes, Passerellidae.
AUCACCGCUAGGGAAAACAAGCCCAGCCUCGCUGCGAAGUGCCAAACUCUUCCCUCCUCGCAGCCUGCUGAUAGAUUUUAGGAGAGCCACUGAGAUCCUCCCUUCCUGGCUUGCCCCCACCCAGCUCCCUUCCCCCGCAGGGUGAGACAGGAUGGCUGAGGGACGGAGCCUCUCCUCGGUGUACCGCUACCGACUAAACCGCUCCGAGGGAAACCAGCGGGGAAACGUUCCAGCCGGAGCCAGCGGACCGUUCCCGAUGGAAAAUGAAUCCUACAUACAGAAGACAUACUGUGUUUAUGAAGAUUGGAAUGAAAAUGAAAAGAGCAUCUAAAGCUGGCAAUGUUUGACUCCUAGGAAACAAAAGGAAAUAAAGAGGAUGAAUUUUAAAUUUGGAAGAACUCAGUGAACUUUUAAGGACAGAUGACACUUGAUAAUGUUAACUGAAAUCUGUUUAACUCAUGAAGUCAUAACUCAGUUUCUCCUCAAACCGUGCUGCUGUGCUGGCAACAAGCAGCUCUUUAGCAAUAUCAAAUAAGCAGAUGAUGGAAAAGAAACAAUUCCCUUAUGUUCCUUUCAGUAAUAAAAUAAGCAGUCUAUAAAGCUAAUACCUUUGCACACAGUCUCAGGGUUUUAUGGUAAUCUUAUUAGAUAUUUUUGCAGCUAUAAAUUUCCACAUGUAGUGGAAUGUAUCUAAAAGAUGCAGGUCAAUCAGUGUCACAAGUCAAAAUAUGUGUUGAAAAAUAAACUUAUUUUUUAUAAUCCA